UACGGUUCUUAAAAUCUAUACGCGUAAUUAUGUUCCAAACAAACAAAAAAGUUCCCAACCGGAUUAAAAAACAAAACAACUGUAAACUAGUUGUUUUCGAGAGGUAAAUAUUUUAAUGCCUUGUUGCCUGUAAGCGAACUGAGUGCCCGAAUUCUUUGACCAAAGAAAUAAAAUGUGUAAAUAAUAAAAGGAAUACUAAUACUAAUGAAAGCCAUAGUUGCAACAGCCCAUUUGACGCUCAUGUUAUUGAACAUGAUUUGACUAACAUGGGCGAAAACAGUAGCCCCAAUAAAGGAAGGAAGAGUAAAAGCGGCAACGGCUGAGCCAGAAAGCAAAGGGUAAGAGUCAGUCAAGUAAUUCAGAAUGCACAUCCAGUUAUGACCAUUCGCAACUGUUACCAUACUAUUACCAACAAUCGGAGACAUCCAGGGGAAAGGUGGAUGACAAGUGAAUGCAAACAAGAACAUUCCUGCAGGGAACAAUAACGUAAUAAACAAAGCACUGGUAAAUCUAGCUUCGGGACGAGCAACACCAUUGUUUUUUGCUUUAUCUCUGCGGAAAAUCCAAUCUUGAAUUGGUUGAUACAAGAACAGGAGAGUACUAGCAACAAACCCAGAUAAAUACGUACAACUAGCACCCAUUUCCGACAUUUUAUAGGUGUCGUAAAACACGGGCCAAAUAGCAGUCAAGAAAAAAUAGGAAAUACCAUAAGCGUAAAAGUUGUAUAAACCCAUUGAAAGAAUAAUGGGUUCGGUAAGCAUCAUUCGAAAUCCCAUGGUAGUGACGAAUUUACAUUUCUUCAAAACUUCCUUCAAAUUGUUUUUAGGAAUUCCUUCUACAAUUCGGCCCUUGGCAUUUUCAUAUCUUGUAAUAACUUUAAUGGGUAAGGUUUCAGGAAUAAUUAGAAUCACGAUAAGGAAAAAGCCACCAACGAUAAUGUUAAUAUAAUAAAGCCAACGCCAGCCAUACUUGGCAUUAAUGUCUACUCCUGUAGCCAUUGGCGCACCAAUUGCACCUCCUGCACAAGCCCAAACAAACAAAGACAUUGGAACACCAGCUGUGUCUUCCGGGAAAAGAUCUGGAAUACCACCUGCAACGUUUGUCAAAGCAGUACUACCAGCAACACCGAUGAUGAAAUGGGAAAUAAUCAUUUGAACGAUGUUACGGGGUAGAGCACACGAAAUAUUAAAGACUGUGUAAACGAAAAUGGAACAAAAGUAAACGGGCUUCCUGCCACCAAUGUCAGACAGCGGGCCCAAAAACAUAGGACCCAAUCCACUACCCAAGAUGUUCAUACUUAAGCACAAUGUAGCUACUUGAGCAGACACAUUAAAUUGGGCCAUAACACUGUACUCAAUACUGCCAAACCCAUUGCUUGUCCAAAUAACAUAGAUCUGCAUUAAACAAAACAUAAAUACAAUACUCCAACGUUUGGCCCAAUGCCAGUUUUGAGGGUGAGCCGGGUGAUCAGAAGAAAUUAAAUUUGAUAUGUCGAUAACCUCGGGCGAUUCCUCUCUCUUUUUUUCAUCAUAUUCAGAAUUGGUUUCAUGAAUUCCAUCUGAUUGAGAGGAGGCAGUGCCUAACUCCAAAUCCUCUGCAACAUUUUCAUGUUGAUCCUUAGAGGCCGUUUCAGACGGAGAAAAUAAACUCGCAAUUUUACUGGCCAUGAUUGUUUUGCCUCACAAGAAAACUAGUACUUUAUUCCUUAUUUACCCUUAUGAAGCUAAGCUCAAGGGGUAUAGAAAAAUCAACUAAAAAUAAAGGAAAAAUAGCUUGUUAAGGUUGAUAAUGAAAAUUCCAUUGGUCCCUGCGUUCAAUAUAUGUAUUCAAACAUUUUGUUCUUCACGCACAUUACCGCCGGAACAAGAUUCCGGUUGUUCACUAACUGGCAAUAUCAUAUUUGAAAGCGCUAUUCUUACAGACAAACGCAAUUAAUGAGAAACAUCAGAGUUUGAAAAGCAUCGUUCGGCAAGCGAAUACCGUCGGUAGUCUGUAGCGAAAGUGUUAAGAAUUGUGAAAUUUUUAGUAUGAUCAUCGAAAGAAAGGAAUUCAUUUUUAGAAGAAUUCUAUCGAUAAGUUUAGAAGAUUAAAAAUGCAUGCUAUUGAACAUUAAGGGAAAUGUAGUAAUGGGUGCUUGAGAUUGCAAAUUUUUGGCAGAUAAAGUGAGAGAACCUCUUAACAAAAAAGUGUCCCAACUAAGCAUCUCUUGUAUCCUCUUAAUUUUGGUUUUAAUUGUUAAACUGAAAAUUGCUAGGAAAAGAGGUUUGAGUCUGAUGGAUCCAUUUAAUCCCCGAUGAACCUACUUACUACUAAAAAAAGAAAAUAAUCAUGGAACGCUGAACCGUUUUAACCAAAAUGUCAACAAAAGGAGUUUCAUUUGAUUCGGGACCUUCCUUUAAAUUAUCAGUUCAUCGGGUACAAUUUGAAGUUUGAUCGCCCUACCAAGUUGGCAAAUACCCAGAAAUAAAGAUUGUUAAGUAUUUUCUUCUUAUUCAGUAAGAUGAUAAGUAUUCUAAAAAGGCACAAGUUUUAUAAACGAUGUUACAUCAAUAACAAUUCAAUCGUCUAUUAUUUGUUUGUAUUUUUACAAUGUUGUUGAUGUUGGUAUUCGGCACGCUGUAAUGUUUAGAUGCUAGCGCGCACAGACGCACGCAGUUUCCCGAGAUUGUUUAAUGAACCAUUUUAUCAGAUGGUGUUAGUACGUUAGUGAAUUAGGUUACGCUUCACUAUUUUUUUAUCGUGG
RNAcentral lists this long non-coding RNA (2743 nucleotides) under Schizosaccharomyces pombe (fission yeast). The record is from RNAcentral. Lineage: Eukaryota; Fungi; Ascomycota; Schizosaccharomycetes; Schizosaccharomycetales; Schizosaccharomycetaceae.